RNAcentral lists this ribosomal RNA (253 nucleotides) under uncultured bacterium. RNAcentral's name for it is "partial 16S ribosomal RNA". It matches the Rfam family "Bacterial small subunit ribosomal RNA", at positions 524 to 776 of the family's 1533-position model. The record is from RNAcentral.
UACGUAGGGACCAAGCGUUGUUCGGAAUUACUGGGCGUAAAGGGCGCGUAGGCGGCCACCUAAGUCAGACGUGAAAUCCCUCGGCUCAACCGGGGAACUGCGUCUGAUACUGGGCGGCUUGAAUUCGGGAGAGGGAUGCGGAAUUCCAGGUGUAGCGGUGAAAUGCGUAGAGAUCGGGAGGAACAUCCGUGGCGAAGGCGACUACCUGGACCAGCACUGACACUGAGGCACGAAAGCGUGGGGAGCAAACAGG